UGGAUGAAUGAAUGAAUGAAUGAAUGAAUGAAUGAAUGAAUGAAUUGAAUGAGCCUCGUUAGUCCCACCAAGAGCACUUCUUGAUGUCAACACAAACUCAUCUUUUGCCUUGUGUUUUCCCCCUAGGGCCACCCAGCGAACUCAUUGACAAAGAUUUUAAGUCCAACUAUCCACAUGAGAAUCUUGCUACAAGCUGCCUCAUCUCCUCUUCUCCCCUCCAAGAGGCAUGUUCACUGCCCCAUUAUCCAGUUAUCUGACUUGGUUUUAGGCCUUAUUCCAGGUGGUUCCAAGCUCCUGGAACACCUGACCUACUAUGAUCCCAUCUCAUCAAUUCUGCUGCCUCUUGAGGUAGAUCCUUUAUAAUGUGAUUAGACUUAGUCCAGUGAUGCCAUCUUUCCCCAGAAAUACUUUAGAAACACCUCUUUUAGGACUUUCAGAACCAGUUAUGAUGAUUUAGUGCUCCUGUUUGUAUCUGGCCAAAAACAGUUUGGCCUCAUCGGACUUGAGGCCAAAUAAUUUCGGCUAUUUCCGAAACGUAGAUCCCGCCUCAAGGACCAAAGUUGUUCAUUACUCUAAUUAUCUAUUUAAUGUUUCUCUCUCAGAUAGACUUAAAAAAGUGGCGGCAGACUACGUUUGUGUUGUUGACUGCACUACCCCAAGCACAGAGCCCGAUGUGCUGCAGGGGUGAAACUAAUGAGUGAGUGAAUAAAUGAAUGAUCUGAAGACCUUCCCAAAAGAUUUUUCUUUGAUUCAAUGAACACAUGCCUGACACUGCUGGGGGUUGAGAAUAUGGAGAUGAAUAAGAAAAAAAAAUUAUUUUCUUUAAAGAGCUUAAAGUCUGGAAGAGAAAAAAACUUACGGAAAAGGGAAAAAUAUUUAUUGUCAAGUCUUAUGGAGCACGCACAUAUAUUAUUUCAUUUAAGUGCCUCAGCAAUCAAAUAAGUGUGAGAUUUUGAUCCCCAUUUUAAAGACUAAAAAGUUGGAAUUCGACAGUGUUACACAACUUGCGUAAUAUUAAUAAGUGACAAGCCGGUCUUUGAACCCAGAGCCUAUGAACUAAGGACCUUUCUUCCAUGACACCAAGCAACGGCUGUGCAAUUCAAGCAAAUGUUUUGGCUUUUAAGCGACUACUUCUGAAAGCCUGAAGGAGAUGACACGUAAAUAGCUAUCUAAGUGCAGAUGAUGAAAGCCAGCCUCGUCAAACUUAAAGAAUGUUCCUUCCCAUGCCAUACAACAAACGGUGCGAGAACUCGAACCAAGAGCCAGAAAAAGUGGUAGAGAGAAAUUAACUGCCCCUGUGAAUCAGCAAAAAACCAAGGGAUGGGACCCACGACAGCUAGUCUUCCUGCUUUAACCCACACAUCUGGCACACCACUGGGAAAAUGGUUAUUUGUUCACUACAAGGAAGAUGACCUUUAACUUCAAGCAUGUAAAGUAAAAAAAAAAAAAAAAAAAAAAA
This is a long non-coding RNA of Herpailurus yagouaroundi (jaguarundi), 1459 nucleotides long. RefSeq lists it as uncharacterized. The record is from RefSeq and is a predicted model, not a curated record. The transcript is spliced from 3 exons. NCBI's taxonomy places the organism in Eukaryota, Metazoa, Chordata, Mammalia, Carnivora, Felidae.